UACGAAGGGGGCUAGCGUUGCUCGGAAUUACUGGGCGUAAAGGGCGCGUAGGCGGCACUGUUAGUCAGGCGUGAAAGUCCUGGGCUCAACCUGGGAACUGCGCUUGAUACGGCAGAGCUAGAGGAUGGAAGAGGCUCGCGGAAUUCCCAGUGUAGAGGUGAAAUUCGUAGAUAUUGGGAAGAACACCGGUGGCGAAGGCGGCGAGCUGGUCCGAUUACUGACGCUGAGGCGCGACAGCGUGGGGGAGCAAACAGGAUUAGAAAACC
This 266-nucleotide ribosomal RNA is filed under the name uncultured bacterium. RNAcentral describes it as "partial 16S ribosomal RNA". It matches the Rfam family "Bacterial small subunit ribosomal RNA", at positions 524 to 787 of the family's 1533-position model. The record is from RNAcentral.